Ribosomal RNA from Otolemur garnettii (small-eared galago), 120 nucleotides. The record is from Ensembl. Lineage: Eukaryota; Metazoa; Chordata; Mammalia; Primates; Galagidae.
GUCUACAGCCAUACCACCCUGAACAUGCCCAAUUUCAUCUGAUCUCAGAAACUUAAGCAGGGUCAGGCCUUGUUAGUACUUGGAUGGAAGACCUCCUGGGAAUACUAGGUGCUAUAGGCU